This 186-nucleotide non-coding RNA is filed under the name Heyndrickxia sporothermodurans. RNAcentral's name for it is "Bacillus sporothermodurans Manganese sequence". The stretch from base 1 to 126 matches the Rfam family "Manganese Mn2+ riboswitch aptamer (yybP-ykoY)". From Rfam's summary of the family: This RNA was originally discovered in E. coli during a large scale screen and was named SraF. The family was later found to exist upstream of related families of protein genes in many bacteria, including the the yybP and ykoK genes in B. subtilis. Lineage: Bacteria; Bacillati; Bacillota; Bacilli; Caryophanales; Bacillaceae. The record is from RNAcentral.
ACGAAUGUCAAAGGGGAGUAGCGUUAAAUGAUUUAAGACACGAUAAUUUGUGACUUAAACAUUUAAAACAAAGUCGUCAUUACAUGGGUGUAAAAUCCAUCGGCUUUGUUGACAUGAAUAAUGUCUAGCAAGACCUUUGCCUAUAAUAGGCAGAGGUCUUUUUGUCUUUAUAGGGUUUUUCGUCAC